GGGCCUAUAGCUCAGCUGGUUAGAGCAUCUGACUCAUAAUCAGGGGGUCCCUGGUUCGAGCCCAGGUGGGCCCACCC
RNAcentral lists this transfer RNA (77 nucleotides) under Nitritalea halalkaliphila LW7. RNAcentral describes it as "tRNA-Met". It matches the Rfam family "tRNA". From Rfam's summary of the family: Transfer RNA (tRNA) molecules are approximately 80 nucleotides in length. Their secondary structure includes four short double-helical elements and three loops (D, anti-codon, and T loops). The record is from RNAcentral. Lineage: Bacteria; Pseudomonadati; Bacteroidota; Cytophagia; Cytophagales; Cyclobacteriaceae.